This 253-nucleotide ribosomal RNA is filed under the name uncultured bacterium. RNAcentral describes it as "partial 16S ribosomal RNA". It matches the Rfam family "Bacterial small subunit ribosomal RNA", at positions 524 to 776 of the family's 1533-position model. The record is from RNAcentral.
GACAGAGGUGCCGAGCGUUAGGCGGAAUCACUGGGCUUAAAGCGUGUGUAGGCGGACUUCUAAGUACCUUGUGAAAUCCCAUGGCUCAACCAUGGAACUGCUUGGUAUACUGGUUGUCUUGAGCCACUUAGGGGCAGUCGGAACAGAUGGUGGAGCGGUGAAAUGCGUAGAUAUCGCUUGGAACGCCGAAGGUGAAAACAGGCUGCUGGGGUUGUGCCGACGCUGAGACACGAAAGCCAGGGGAGCAAACGGG